UCUAUAUGACUUAUUAAGAUGGCAGAGCCCGGUAAUUGCAAAAGAUCUAAGACCUUUACCCCCGAAAGUUCAAGUCUUUCUCUUAAUU
This 88-nucleotide transfer RNA is filed under the name Oedipina nica (Nicaraguan worm lizard). RNAcentral describes it as "tRNA-Leu". The record is from RNAcentral. Lineage: Eukaryota; Metazoa; Chordata; Amphibia; Caudata; Plethodontidae.